Molecule: unclassified non-coding RNA, 157 nt
Filed under: uncultured fungus
Lineage: Eukaryota; Fungi
Description: sequence contains ITS1
Source: RNAcentral
UUGAUUCUUUUGUAUGAUUCAGACGACACACAGAUUUAUGCAUAAAAGCGGCGCCCAAAAAGGACGCCGAAGCACAUUUUUUGCUUCCACAGGUUUGGAGGGGUAGAAGGUCAAAGACCAUUCAAUAAUGAUCCCUCCGCAGGUUCACCUACGGAGA